CCUACGGGAGGCAGCAGUGAGGAAUAUUGGUCAAUGGACGAGAGCCUGAACCAGCCAAGUAGCGUGAAGGAUGACUGCCCUAUGGGUUGUAAACUUCUUUUAUAUGGGAAUAAAAUGUUGCACGUGUGGGAUUUUGUAUGUACCAUAUGAAUAAGGAUCGGCUAACGCCGGGCCAGCAGCCGCGGUAAUACGGAGGAUCCGAGCGUUAUCCGGAUUUAUUGGGUUUAAAGGGAGCGUAGGUGGAUUGUUAAGUCAGUUGUGAAAGUUUGCGGCUCAACCGUAAAAUUGCGGUUGAAACUGGCAGUCUUGAGUACAGUAGAGGUGGGCGGAAUUCGUGGUGUAGCGGUGAAAUGCUUAGAUAUCACGAAGAACUCCGAUUGCGAAGGCAGCUCACUGGACUGCCACUGACACUGAGGCUCGAAAGUGUGGGUAUCAAACAGGAUUAGAUACCCCAGUAGUC
RNAcentral lists this ribosomal RNA (460 nucleotides) under uncultured bacterium. Its description in RNAcentral is "partial 16S ribosomal RNA". It matches the Rfam family "Bacterial small subunit ribosomal RNA", at positions 338 to 795 of the family's 1533-position model. The record is from RNAcentral.